Molecule: ribosomal RNA, 718 nt
Rfam family: 5.8S ribosomal RNA (bases 196-350)
AACUUUCCACGUGAACUGUCAAACCUGUUCUGUGCUUCUGCUGUGUCUGCGUUUUCGGACGCGGACGUGGCGGAGGCUGAACGAAGGCUGGUUUCAUUUGUAUGAGAUCAGCUGAUAUAUUUUUUCAAACCCCUUUUUUACAAAAUGACUGAUCAAUACUGUGAGAACGAAAGUUCUUGCUUUAAACUAGAUAACAACUUUCAGCAGUGGAUGUCUAGGCUCGCACAUCGAUGAAGAACGCUGCGAACUGCGAUACGUAAUGCGAAUUGCAGAAUUCAGUGAGUCAUCGAAAUUUUGAACGCAUAUUGCACUUUCGGGUUAGACCUGGAAGUAUGUCUGUAUCAGUGUCCGUACAUCAAACUUGCCUCUCUUUUUUCUGUGUAGUCAGGAUUGGAGACGUGCAGAUGUGAAGUGUCUCGCGCACUUGCGUCUUCGGACGACAAGCUGUCGAGUCCUUUUAAAACGACACGAUCUUUCUAUUGUUUCUGUGAAGCGUAUUGCUCGAACGCGGUGAUUUUCGGAUCGCUCGCAGUCGUCGGCGACUUCGGUGAGAACAUAAAGGAGGAAACCUCAAUUCGCGGUAUGUUCGGCUUCGGCUCGACAAUGUUGCUUAUUGUGUGUGGAAUCUGUUUUCGCCUUGAGGUGUACUGAUGGUUGUGUGCUUGAACUGGGAGUUGGUGUGUAGUAGAGCGGUGCAGCAUGCAUGGUUACGCCUUUU